UAUGCAAGUCGAACGAGCCUUCGGGCUAGUGGCGGACGGGUGAGUAACGCGUGAGAAUCUGCCCUCAGGAGGGGGAUAACGGCUGGAAACGGCCGCUAAUACCCCAUAUGCCGCGAGGUGAAAUGAGAAAUCGCCUGAGGAUGAGCUCGCGUCUGAUUAGCUAGUUGGUGGGGUAAGAGCCUACCAAGGCAUCGAUCAGUAGCUGGUCUGAGAGGAUGAUCAGCCACACUGGGACUGAGACACGGCCCAGACUCCUACGGGAGGCAGCAGUGGGGAAUUUUCCGCAAUGGGCGCAAGCCUGACGGAGCAACGCCGCGUGAGGGAUGAAGGCCUCUGGGCUGUAAACCUCUUUUCUCAAGGAAGAAGAACUGACGGUACUUGAGGAAUAAGCCACGGCUAAUUCCGUGCCAGCAGCCGCGGUAAUACGGGAGUGGCAAGCGUUAUCCGGAAUUAUUGGGCGUAAAGCGUCCGCAGGCGGUCUUGAAAGUCUGUUGUUAAAGCGUGGAGCUCAACUCCAUUUCAGCAAUGGAAACUAGAAGACUAGAGUGUGGUAGGGGCAGAGGGAAUUCCCGGUGUAGCGGUGAAAUGCGUAGAUAUCGGGAAGAACACCAGUGGCGAAGGCGCUCUGCUGGGCCAUAACUGACGCUCAUGGACGAAAGCCAGGGGAGCGAAAGGGAUUAGAUACCCCUGUAGUCCUGGCCGUAAACGAUGAACACUAGGUGUCGGGGGAAUCGACCCCCUCGGUGUCGUAGCCAACGCGUUAAGUGUUCCGCCUGGGGAGUACGCACGCAAGUGUGAAACUCAAAGGAAUUGACGGGGGCCCGCACAAGCGGUGGAGUAUGUGGUUUAAUUCGAUGCAACGCGAAGAACCUUACCAGGGUUUGACAUCCUGCGAAUCUUUUGGAAACAGAAGAGUGCCUUCGGGAGCGCAGAGACAGGUGGUGCAUGGCUGUCGUCAGCUCGUGUCGUGAGAUGUUGGGUUAAGUCCCGCAACGAGCGCAACCCACGUCUUUAGUUGCCAGCAUUGAGUUGGGCACUCUAGAGAGACCGCCGGUGAUAAACCGGAGGAAGGUGUGGAUGACGUCAAGUCAUCAUGCCCCUUACAUCCUGGGCUACACACGUACUACAAUGCUGCGGACAGAGGGCAGCAAACUCGCGAGAGCUAGCAAAUCCCAUAAACCGUGGCUCAGUUCAGAUCGUAGGCUGCAACUCGCCUACGUGAAGGAGGAAUCGCUAGUAAUCGCAGGUCAGCAUACUGCGGUGAAUACGUUCCCGGGCCUUGUACACACCGCCCGUCACACCAUGGAAGUUGGCCAUGCCCGAAGUCGUUACUCCAACCCUUGUGGAGGAGGACGCCGAAGGUGGGGCUGAUGACUGGGGUGAAGUCGAAACAAGGUA
This 1398-nucleotide ribosomal RNA is filed under the name metagenome. RNAcentral's name for it is "bacterial SSU rRNA". It matches the Rfam family "Bacterial small subunit ribosomal RNA". The record is from RNAcentral.